AUGGACGGGCAAGAACACAAUAAUCGCCUCCACCUAGCUCCUUGCUCAACCAUGAACAUCCAGAGAACAUGGCAGCAGCUCCUGAUGCUCCAUCUCCUCACUCAUAUCCUCUUCCUUUUCCUCACAUCCAGCUCUCAACCUACCAACAAUGAAACUGUCAGCAGCGGCGAUCUUUUCGUCCUCCUGUCAUUCAAAUCCUUCAUCACCAGUGACCCUACACGGGCACUGUCCUCGUGGUCACGGGGCCAUGCCAGUGCUGGUGCUGGCGCUGGCAACGGUACCAGCAGCACGAAGACGAAGGUGCCCGGUUUCUGCAAAUGGACGGGUGUGUCCUGUGGCAACCACCGGUACCCUGGCCGUGUCACCGCCAUACGCCUGCAUGGCUUUGGCCUGGUCGGUACCAUCAGCCCGCAGCUCGGUAACCUGACACGCCUCCGCGUCCUCAACCUCUCAGCCAAUAGCCUGGGAGGUGAGAUCCCAGGCAGCAUCAGCCACUGUGCAGCACUUGGCACUGUGGACCUGGGGGAGAACUCCCUCUCUGGUUCCAUGCCUGCUUCUCUGGGUCUCCUAUCAAAGCUCACAUUUCUCAGCGUUACCCAUAACAACCUGACUGGUGAUAUUCCCAUGUCGUUCUCCAACCUCACAGCUCUCACGAACCUUAGCAUGUCGAACAACCAAUUCCUUGGCGGAAUCCCAAGCUGGCUGGGCAACCUGACAUCGUUGACACACUUGGAAUUAGUCGGGAACAGGUUCAAUGGCCAUAUCCCUCCAGAUCUUGGUAAGAUGUCUAAUCUUGUUACAUUUGACAUCAAUGACAACAAACUGGAAGGCCCUUUUCCUCCAUCCAUGUUCAAUAUUUCUUCAAUCAAAAACUUCAACAUUGGCUUCAACCAGUUGACAGGAUCUCUGCCGCUGGAUAUUGGCUUUAAGCUUCCCAAGCUAAAUGUUUUGGGCACACAUGCGAACCGAUUCGUAGGAAAAAUACCAGCCUCCUUGUCAAAUGCAUCCGCACUUAAAUAUUUGAUUCUUCACGGAAAUCAGUAUCAUGGUCCGAUUCCACGGGACAUUGGCAUCCAUGGUCGUUUGAUAUUAUUUUCGUUAGGAAACAAUUUGCUUCAAACCACAGAGCCUAGGGAUUGGGAUUUUCUCACAUCCUUAACCAACUGUAGCAACCUGGGAAUACUAGACCUUGACCAAAACAACCUUGAAGGUGCUAUGCCAGUUACAAUUGCUAACCUAUCUACAGAGCUCUACAUGAUUACACUAGGUAGAAACAAAAUAGCUGGGACCAUACCUGCAGGUUUAAGCAAGUUUCAAAAACUUGCAACGCUCUCCCUGAAGCAAAGCCUCUUCACAGGCACCUUGCCUCUGGAUAUUGGCCUGAUUCCUAGCCUCCAGGAACUUGACCUAUCCCAUAGUAGAUUUCAUGGGCAGAUUCCACAAUCAUUAGGCAAUAUCACAAAGUUGAGCAACCUCUUCCUAUCUAAUAACUUUCUAGAUGGCAGCAUGCCAUCAAGCCUUGGUAACCUAACAAAACUUACAUCUCUGGAUCUUUCUGGUAACUCCUUGAGGGGGGAAAUCCCACCGGAGGUACUUAGCAUCCCCUCCCUGACCAAACUUCUCAACCUCUCCCACAAUUCUCUGAGUGGCUCCAUUCCAACACGGAUAGGGCAACUGAACAGCCUAGGCACAAUUGACCUUUCCAUGAACGAGCUAUCUGGUGAAAUUCCAGAAGCUCUCAGCAGUUGCGUCCUACUGAACUCCCUAUACUUGCAAGGAAAUCUUCUGCAAGGGCAAAUUUCAAAAGUUUUGUCUUCUUUAAGAGGCCUUGAAAAGUUGGAUCUUUCUAGCAACAACUUAGGAGGGCCCAUACCUGAGUUCCUCGAGGGCUUCGAGCUUCUAAUGUAUCUAAACCUCUCUUUCAACAACCUAUCUGGCCCAGUGCCAAAUGCAGGGAUUUUCCGCAACGCCACUAAGCAUCAUCAUCGGGUCAUACUCUUUUGCAUGGUUGGAACUUUGAUGUUGAUGUGCUCCCUAACUGCAUGCUACUUGAUGAAGACAAGAAUCAAACCAAAUAGUGUUGGUCAAGAAACCGGAUUUCACAAUGAGAAGCAUGAGAGGAUAUCCUAUGCCGAUAUAGAUGAAGCAACACAGUCCUUCUCACCGGCAAAUUUGAUUGGUUCCGGCAGCUUUGGCGAUGUGUACAUUGGAACUCUGAAUCUUGAUGAGAGUUUAUACACCGUAGCAAUCAAAGUUCUCAAUCUUGGCAAACGAGGAGCUAACAGAAGCUUUUUGAGGGAGUGUGAAGCCCUGAGGAAGAUCCGACACCGGAAACUUGUCAAGGUGAUCACUGUGUGUAGCAGUUUGGACCGUAAUGGUGAUGAGUUCAAGGCACUUGUCCUAGAAUUUAUCUGCAAUGGGAACUUAGAUGAGUGGCUGCAUCCAAACACAGAGAACAGCAGGACCUUCAGAAGGCUAAGUCUGAUGGAAAGGUUGUGCAUCGCUCUUGAUGUUGCAGAGGCAUUGGAAUAUCUUCACCACCAAAUUGAGCCCCCCAUAGUUCACUGUGAUAUCAAACCAUGCAACAUCCUUCUAGAUGAUGACAUUGUUGCGCAUGUUGCUGACUUUGGUCUAGCAAAGAUAAUGCAUACUGAAGCAUGCAAGCAAAGUGGCGGUGGGACUGAAAGCAGCUCACUUGUGAUUAAAGGCACAAUUGGAUACGUCGCACCUGAGUAUGGCUCGGGAUCUGAAGCCUCCACAGCGGGUGACGUAUACAGCUUCGGGGUGUUGCUAUUGGAAAUGCUUACUGGAAGACGGCCAACUGACAGUUUCAGAGAUGGCGCGACAAGUCUUGUCAACUAUGUCAAGAUGGCAUAUCCUGAUACUCUGCUGGAAGUGUUAGAUGCUAGUGCAACAUACAGCGGAAACCCGCAACGUAUCAUAGACAUAUUCUUACAUCCUAUGCUUAAGAUUGGUCUAGCUUGCUGUGAGGAUUCCCCAAGGCACCGAAUGAAGAUGAACAAUGUAGUCAAGGAGCUGAAUGCCAUAAAGAAGGCGUGCGCCCCUCAUAUGCAUGUUCAUGGAUUUCGAGCAAGCGCUUGA
RNAcentral lists this ribosomal RNA (3102 nucleotides) under Triticum aestivum (bread wheat). RNAcentral describes it as "partial small subunit ribosomal RNA". Lineage: Eukaryota; Viridiplantae; Streptophyta; Magnoliopsida; Poales; Poaceae. The record is from RNAcentral.